Molecule: transfer RNA, 77 nt
Filed under: Clostridiales bacterium
Lineage: Bacteria; Bacillati; Bacillota; Clostridia; Eubacteriales
Also listed under: 1 other name
Description: tRNA-Ala
Rfam family: tRNA
About the family: Transfer RNA (tRNA) molecules are approximately 80 nucleotides in length. Their secondary structure includes four short double-helical elements and three loops (D, anti-codon, and T loops).
Source: RNAcentral
GGGCCUGUAGCUCAGUUGGGAGAGCGCGUGGUUCGCAUUCACGAGGUUCGAGGGUUCGAUCCCCUUCAGGUCCACCA